GCUGCCUGGUACUCGCAUGUACUGAAACAGGAACGACACAGAGAAGAUUAGCGUGGCCCCUGAGCAAGGAUGACACACGAACUCGAGAAGUGUUCCAUAUGAAA
Molecule: small nuclear RNA, 104 nt
Organism: Vicugna pacos (alpaca)
Lineage: Eukaryota; Metazoa; Chordata; Mammalia; Artiodactyla; Camelidae
Source: Ensembl